RNAcentral lists this ribosomal RNA (253 nucleotides) under uncultured bacterium. RNAcentral's name for it is "partial 16S ribosomal RNA". It matches the Rfam family "Bacterial small subunit ribosomal RNA", at positions 524 to 776 of the family's 1533-position model. The record is from RNAcentral.
UACGUAGGUGGCAAGCGUUGUCCGGAAUCAUUGGGCGUAAAGCGCGCGUAGGCGGCCCGGUAAGUCCGUUGUGAAAGUCAAAGGCUCAACCUUUGAAAGCCGAUGGAUACUGCCGGGCUGGAGUCCGGAAGAGGCGAGUGGAAUUCCUGGUGUAGCGGUGGAAUGCGCAGAUAUCAGGAGGAACACCAAUAGCGAAGGCAGCUCGCUGGGACGGUACUGACGCUGAGGCGCGAAAGCGUGGGGAGCGAACAGG